Non-coding RNA from Phoenix dactylifera (date palm), 8173 nucleotides. Lineage: Eukaryota; Viridiplantae; Streptophyta; Magnoliopsida; Arecales; Arecaceae. The record is from RefSeq and is a predicted model, not a curated record.
UGGGGCGUUUUGGUUUACCGGUACUUUGCUCUUUAAUCGAGUCGCGCGAGCUCGAUCACGUAUUCACGUGAGAGACCUGAUCCCGCUCGAGUUUAGGCUCCGCGCCUGGAACUUAUUUCGGUGCUGUUCGGAAGUGGAAGGGCCGAGACGUCCGAUAAGGUGGCGGCGAAGCGAUAGGCAUCAAAACAUGGCGACUGGAUGCCGACUUUCGUUCCUUCGAUCCCGCUAACGGCUAUUUACAAGAAAGAAUCGAUCAAGAAAUGGCCUGCGGGACGGCGUCGUCGUCUUGAAAACGAUCGGCUCCAAUGGCAAAGCUUCGAAUCGGACCGUGGUGUUCAGGUGUCUCUGUUCUUCUUUAUUUUGAUGAUUUGGGUAUUUACACUUUCCAAUCUUUGUUCGGUAAGAGGAUUCCAGCAAGGUAGAAAUAAUGUUUCCUUUUCGGGACCGAGAUUUGCUUGAGCGAGAGGAGCUCGAUUUUGGGGUAUUUAAUCUUGUUCAUGUGAACUUUGACAGAUUGAGGACAUCAGCCGUUGCCCUUUCGGAGAGGUAAGGUAAUUGCUUUUCUGAGGUAUAUGUUCUUCUUUUUUGUUGCUUUCUGUUGGAAUAAUUUGUCCUAGAUUCUACCAAACACACGAAGUGGGUUUUUUUCUUUAAAAAAAAAAGUUUUUUCGCCUCAAAGAUCAUCGCUUUUCGUAUCUUUGUACUAGUGAUAAAGUGCAUCAGGUCCUAAACAGGUGGCGUGUUUAAAGUCAGUGUGUUUCCAUUGCCAACCUUAAUGCAAAAACUGAGAUAGGUCAAGAGGAUGAAAAAAGGCACAAACUUGUCAAACUAAUUCUGCAAUAAUUUGAUAUUACUGUGCCAUCUGGUCAACGUGAUAAAGGAGAAGAGUGUGUCGUAAUAAAACGAUAUGUACGGUUUAUAUGCUCAGUCCCUUCUGAUAAUGCGGGGUAGCGUUCUCAAAGAAGCUUAAGUUGGUGAAUGGAAAGAGUCAUAGUUCCAGUUCUUUUAAAAUCGUAGAUUGCUAUAUUUCUUUAUUUUAUUAUUAGGUUGGAAAUUAGAAUGUGUUAUGUAUAGGUUUAUGCCUGUUUAAUCAAUUGAAUUUCAAGUGGUCGUGCAUUUAAGAAUUGAGGUCCUUCCUUGGGCCAUGACAAUGUUUGGAUGCUUAUAAGUUAUAGGUAUGUUGGUACUUCUCUGACUCUUAGGAACAGUUCUGAAUCAAUGGAAGGAUUGACAUUUUUGAUGGGCUGAAUUCGGACCCUUUGAAGCUUCAGGUUAGCAUGCUUGGUAUCUGUUGCUCUGAUCUAUGCAACAAGGAAGUUUGAAACUAUUAACGAACUUGCCAAAUUGGGCAUGGUUUCUAUGGUCAUUGAGAGUGCACAGUUUUCUUUUCUUUUUUUCUUUAUUUUUGAAUGUACUGUGUUCUUAUAUUGUUUGAUAGAGUUUUACUGGAUGCAUUUCGUGGUUGCCUAUGACUCUGUGAGUACAUUUCUUGGUUGCCUACAGUUCUGUUGAGCAAUAUCUAUAUGGCAACAGACUAGAAAUUGUUGUUCUUAAAAUAUGGUGUAGCAUUAAAUAGUUUGAACAAAAACUUUUGAAUUCCUCCUAUGACAUUGUCUAAUGCCAUUUGAGGUACCAUCUGCUCCGUUUGUUGUCAAAACAUGAGGUUGUAGAACACAAUCCUGUACAACGACCAAAGUGCACCGACCAAAAGAUGAGAUUCUUGUCUAGAGAUGAUUGAACAUGAGGUGAAGUCUAUGCAGCCCUUUGAACAGACAUCUGGCUUUCCUUCAUUGAUAUAUUGCAAUCUUAUGUGACUGAAAGUGCAAAUGCAAUUCACAGUUCACAAAUCCAUUUAUCCAUGCAAAUAUCACUUUCAUGGUUGUUCAGGUGAUUUUUGAUCAUUUUAAUCAUUCUCAUUCUCUACUUGUUCCAUGUAUGACUGUCAUACAAGAGAAGAAAUGGGAUUGUCAUGGGAGCGAUGUGGCUGUAUCUUGAACUUCUCUUAUAACUUUUUUCUCUAUUUUCCAUUCCAUUAGUUUGUCCACUUCAACCUGCUGCGCGUUGUCAUCAUGGUAUUGUGCAUAUUGCUCAGCAUUGAAUUAAAUGAUGCGUCUCUUUUUUAUUUUAUCAAACCAUACGAGCUAUACGUCUAUACGUUAGCAAAAUACUUGGACCUCCUUUCCAUUUUUUUGGGAUGGUCUUGUUUCCUGUUUAUUAUUGCUUAUUCAGUUUUCAUGGACCAAACUCCUUGCUGUAGGUAGGUGGUUAUCUUUACAGAUGUGUCUCAUUAAUGACUUCAAAGCAGCUGACUUCAUUUUGUUGGUUUGAUGUUUAUCUCAUAUAUUACAGCUUAACAUUCUUUGUUGAAUGUGGCCAUACCUCCCUCUACGGUAUCUUGACACCAUGACUUCCCAUUGUAGUUGUCAUCUUCCAGUCCUGAGUAGAUUAGUUUUGCUAAGAGAAAAUAGCAUCUCAUUGUUAAUUCUGCCAUUUGCUUUUCAUGCUUACUUUUAUGCCUUGAUAGUUGUGGGCUAAAUCCAACCUUACCUAGUUUAUUCUUAUAAACGCACCUACAUUAUUAAUGUUGGCUAUUUUCCCUAUUAGCUCUUCAUUCUUCUAUUGCAUAUUGGCAUCAUCAUAGUCAUAAGCAAGGUCUGCGGAACCGUCUCGAACUGCCCGGUUCGGAGCGUUUCAGGCCAUACCGGCAGCGGACCGGGACGGUUCUUCCAUUGAGACCGAGAUGCCUCGCCGGAGAAAAAGAAAGAGAAGAGGAAAAGAGAGAGAGAGAGGGGAAGGGAGGAAGAGGGAGAGCAAGGAAGAGAGGUCAACCCUCUCUUUUCCUCUCUCGUUCUCCCUCUCCCCCACUGUAGAUGAUGUGUCAGUACGGCCUGGCAAGGUACGGCGCGGGCCCGUACCGAUUCGUCCCGCCAGGCAACCGGUACAGUGUCCGGUACUGGUUCUGCCAACGUUGCUCAUAAGUCUACUUGUCUUGUUCACUUACUCUCCUUCAUUACAUGUGUUCAAUUUGGAUGCAAAGCUGAGACCACGAACAUACUGUUGUAGCUUUUGCUUAAGCCUAUGUCCCUUUCUCAUGCAUCUUUAAAAGAAAUAAUCAGUUUGUGUUCCAGGCUUGCCAUUAAUCACUUCAUCGGGAGAUUCAUUACUACCAUAAGGUAGCUAAAUUUAAUAAAUGGUAAAUGGCCAUGACCAAGAUGCCUCUGAAUUUUCAGCAAAUUCACAUUUUUUAGGACCUUGUUCCUUCUCAUUUGAGUAUCUGUUGCAACUUGAGAAGCAUUCAGCAUUCCAUUCAGCAUUGCAAUACUUCACUUGCAAUUCGUCAUGGACCCUUGCAGUAUAAAUUUCACUAUGAAUACACAGUGAUUUAUUAUGCAAAAUACAACAACUAAUCAUCUUAUAUACAGACCAUUUCUCUCACUCAUAUCAAGGACUAUAGAGGAAAAAAUUUCUUCAUACUGAAGGUCUAUGAAUCUUUACAAGGAAGUCUACAAACUGCCAAAUAAACUGGUUAUUAGGAAAUAGCAAACGUAUAAAUAUAAGUGGUUGGUUUUAUUAGUAUUCUUUUACCAGGAAAAAAUCAGAUUGUUGGUCAUCAGAUUAGCCAUUUCAUUACCAAAAUAACAAAGAGCACAAUUGAAUGCAAUGCCAAACAGGGAAACUUCGAGACAGUGUGAAUCGUUAUCUGAUACUUGGUUACCAUAUGGAAGCUUAAAUAAUAUUUUGUUUCUUGCUCAUUUGGGAGAGAGCUAUGAGUCAACGAUGAUAUAUUUUCUUAGUUUUUUUUUCUUUUUAAUGUUCUACAUGAUGCACUUUUUAUGGAAUGAAAAUUGGUUUAAUUGUGAAUGUUACCACGUAGAACCAUCAUUAUUUUAGACAUAAAACCAUUAUUAUUUUUCAUUAAAAAUGCGACAUCGUACAUGCAAUUUAUGGGUUUCACAUGUUUUUAUAAACAUAGGAAUGCACUGAUGUGAUAGAGUAAUUUUCAUUUAUCUAACCUGGCAUCUUUCUGAAUCUUUCCGACAAUACUUGGUUAUUCUGUGCUAAGGUUGAUUACUUAAAUUUAAAAAGCAAUGAGAGGUUAAUGUUCACAUCCAGGCCAAAGUGGGAAUGAUUGCAAAGUUUGGAUGUUUCUGAUUAGCAACCCAUAAAUCGACAUGAUCUCAAAUCUUGAUGCCAUUUGCAUAUAGUUGGAUGACAGUGACUUAUUAGAAACAGAUGCUUUUUUCCACUCUGAUGAUUUUUCUGGACACUAGCUUUUAUUUAAAAAUUAAUUUGAUAGCCAGUUUGUUUGUGGUUCCUUCUUUCUGAUAACCAUCUUGUAAUUCUAUCCUGCCUACUUAUGAUGAUAUCCUUCAUUAAAAUAAAGAUCCAUAUAAAGUUAUAGUUUGACCAAGAGAGUUGAUUCUGUAGGAGCUUCUAUCCACAAUCCUUUGUUAUGUAGUGAGCUUAUUGUAGCUACAACAUUGUGAGCAAACUUUAUGUUUCCAAACAGGGUAAUUAGUCUUUAUGUAGUGUUUUAUGUGAACCUGCUGAAGUUGUAUGAAAGUACAGUCCAUAGUAUUUCAAAUAGCAUGCUAGAAUUAUUGAUCACAUAUAUAUAUAUAUUCUUUAAAGCCAUUUAUUGUUUCACUUUGUUAUCAUGUACUGCUUAUGAGUUCUAUAUUUACAACUAUUGAAGAAUCUUAUACACUCAAGCACACACCUAUGACCACAUUUUAAGGCCUUUGAGAGCAUCAUCAAUUUACUAAUUCUAGAGCUUUCAUGUUGAUACUUGGUCUACUACACCUUCGAUAUUCAUUGCAGGUUGGUUAUUCAUGAAGUCAAGAGUGACAAAUCACUAAUACAUUAGCACUGAACAACAGAGAAUCUUUCUGUCAAUUUUAUAUAGAGGAUGAAGUAUGCCAAUAAAUAUGUUUCAAUAUUUUGUGUUACAAUAGUUCACUAAUAUAAACAAUUGGGGUUUUUCGUUUCAUGUGUACUCAUAUUUCCUUUCUUCCCUCCUCGAAACACUUUGAUUUGCAUCCAAAUUUAAUUUUUUAUCCAUGUCGCAAUAUAGGACUCCAUUAAACAAAUUUAAGCUACAAGCAUUACAUGAUACAUUUAUUAAAUGCCAUAAUAUACAAACAGUACUUGGCUUCUUGUGUGAUUAAACCUACUUUUGAAUUAAUGUACUGUGACUUCUUGUCUACAAGGUAGGCAUGAUUUUCCUUUGGGCACUUCUUUCCAAAAGGAUGAAAGAAGUUAAGUCAAAUUCAAAUUAGUAUCCUCUAUGUUCUUCUCUUUGUAAUAUUUAGUUGCUCAGAUCUUCCAUUAAUCUGAUCACUAUUGGCUUUCCACACAUUAGCCAUUGCAUAAUUUUGUGAACACCUGCUUUCUCUCUCACUCCAUUGCAUUCUCUCCUUCCAAUUCAUAAGAUUCUCUUUUUUCUUUUUCUUCUUUUGUCUUUAUCAAGUGUUCCAAUUAAAUUCCUACAAAGCUACUGUGUUACAUGUAAGUCUCUCACAUUUUGACUAUUAUGUACAUACGCUUAAUAAAUCCAUUCAUUUGCAGAAAACCCUUGCCACUAAUGCUUCAUCAAAAGAACAAUUGAUAUUAUGUUGAUAUUCCUCUAAAAUAGUCAUGCAUAUUUAGUCAAGUUUUUAAAAGAUUGUUUCAAAAAAGAAAAAACACCAAGCAGCUCUGAUGAUCCAAGAUGAAAUUCAAUCAUUCCCUUUUAGAAAGCCAUCGAAGAGUAUAAUGGUUAUUGUCAUUCUUGGCAGUCAAAGUGAGUUAAAAAAAUUUGACCGCAGUCAAUGGAAAGGGUUUCUUUUGGAAAAACUACCAUUUGUGUGUUUCUAAGUAUAAUAAAUUGGGUUUUGUCUAUAGAAUUGAAGUUGUGCAGGGUUAUGUGCAAAGUUCUUUUUCAAUUGCUUCAGAUUUUGAUUUCAUUUGAAAUUGUUGUGAUGGUCAGAAUUGUCAGGGGGAUGGUAACUGCUUCAAUCUUUCCCCUAAGUAUGCCUAUAAAUGUGGGGGGAUGUUGGGAUGCUCCUGCUGCCUCAAUACACAGAUGAGGUCAGCAUCAAACGUGGACUUGUAUCAAUGUAGUGUAGAUAUGAUUUAUGUUCUUCGAAAUGGGGUGCUAAACCCUGUAAGGACCACAUACACAAUUUUCAGCCCUAAAAUCUCAAGCUAAUGAAAGAGCUCAUGCACCAUUAUGGAUUGCAAUGAAUUCUAGAGAUCUUCAAACCAAUAAGUGCACACAACCUUUAGAUCCUGAAAAGUACGAACUGCUGUUGAAGGUUAUAUAUCCUCCAAAAUAUUAACUCAUGGAAAAUGAUUUCCCUAGUGGAAAUUUUAGGAAGGAGAGUAAUAUAGCCAACACCAACCAUCAUUGAUAUGUGAUCACUAAACUGCCAGUGCUAGGACAUUGAUCAAAUGUUCUUGCUUUGAGCAAAGUGAAAGCCAACCACAUGGUAUGUCUCUCUCAUUGGUUUCUAAAAUUUACCUGGAUGCUCCUGCUGUAAUUCUACAUUGUUCCAACUCUCUGUUGUUGUUUGAUCAAAACCCUUUGGGUUGGUUUUUUAAAUAUUUUUCUAGGUGGGAUCUCCUUCAAGACCUAGAACACCCAAAGCAUGAAUUUUAGUUCAGUCAAUAAUGAAAUGAAGUACAGAUACAUGUAUUGAGAAAAAAAAAUUGGAGUACCAAUGGAUGCAUUCAUAUGCUGUUUGUAGACAUAAUCAUUAUUUUGGGCAUACCUUGUCCUCCAUUUUAUGUUGAUAUGUGGAUAUGGACAAUUAUGUGUACUUGCGUGUUCUUUUGGGCAUAUUCAUGUGUUUACCAAAGAUUUUUUUUUUUAUAAACAUUUUGAUGCAAUUCGAUGCCAAAACAUUCAAAAGCAUCUGUGUCAACUAGAAGAGCUAGGCAAAGUAAGAGCAGCAUGAUACAUUUAAAGCAGAGAUCUGUGUAGGAGAAUCAAGUAGAGGAGCAUACCCGAACAUCUGCUGAUGGCUGUUUGACUUUGGCAUGUCUGUUGACCAAUGAUUUGCCAUGCUUCACUCCAGCAGAUCUAUUGGUGGAUGAGAUGUUCCUCAUAUCAUCCACCAUUCAAACUGACUUCGAAAGAAGACCUUCAGUACAGGGCUUUAUGUGCACCAACAUAUAUCAAAGUAUAGAGACAGUCUAUUUUGAUCGAGCCACCAGAGGUAUUUUAGUAAGUGAGCAUAAUGAAUAGAAGAAUUAUAAGUUAUUAUCUGUCAAUAAACAACGGACAAAGAUCGUUGCUCUUGAGGAAUGUUUCGAGAAUAUUAGAUGUUUAAAAAAGGAAUCUUGUCUAUGGUGUGAAAUAAAUUUAAAUAAUAUCAAUGUCCUCUCACCAAACACAAUUGUAGUGCACCAAAAUCUCUGAAGUAGAAUUUGCAAUAUUCUUGAUUAGAAAUUUUUGAUUUUCUUGUUCUUCUUGAAAUUGUCUUGUGACAAUGAUAUCCAAUCUGGAUCUUCCCCUAAGAAUAGAAUCAUGUGGAGGAAGAAUUCUCAAAUAGAGCAGCAUGCAUUUUGUCAAGCAAACAAUACUACCGAGAGAAGGCCAGAUGGAUUCAGAUGCAGAAUUUAUGGAGCUUUAAAGAAGCUCAAAAAAGACUACAUACAUGAUUCCCUCUUGGAUUCAUCUGGCUGGUUUUUUAUGCCACCUUCCAUGCAAGACAUGUUGCCCGAAUGAGUAUUCCAUUCCGAAUCCCAGAUAGAUCUUGCAGUCACGGAGUACCUUUCUCAAUGGAAUUCUCAUUUGGGCAAGAAGCCUUUCCAUGGAAGGGAAUGUAAGAAGCUCCUCCUCAGCUCCAGCUGCUGACACCCAAGGAAGUUUUGCUCCCCCUGUUCUUAUAGAGCCCCCAGCUCUUGAGUUCUGCUGACAUCUCCAAGACCUUGCUGUGUGUUGGUUUGAUUGUUUGGUGCAACCUCCAUGCAAGGGAAAUGAAGGCAGGAGGCCAUGCCAAUUACCGAACGCACUUUUUUUUUUUGUUUGAAAUAUUUAUUUGAUGUACUUGAAAGAUUAACAUUACGGAGGCCUCAUUAUGUUAUUUAUGUAUAUAAUGGACUCGGUGACAUUUCAUUUUAGUUGCCGUUAUUUAAUAUUUUUGCUGUUCAUCGAAAUAAAAUGAUAUUCUUGCAUACUUAAAUCCCA